ACAAGAGGAGACUCUUUCUUGGCUGUUGUCAGAGAAAGCAAUGUGAUGACAAAAUAAGGGUCAGAGAGGUGCUAUAUUACAAGAGGAGAAUCUUUCUUGGCUGUUGUCAGAGAAAGCAAUGUGAUGACAAAAUAAGGGUCAGAGAGGUGCUAUAUUGCUGGAUUUAAAGAUGAAGGAAGAGGUCCACAAGCAAGUAAUAUAGGCAGCCUCCAGAAGCUGGAAAAGGCGAGGAAAUGAAUUCUCCCCUAAAGUCUCCAGGAAAAGGUGCAGCCCUACCUACACUUUGAUUUAGUCCUGUGAGACGCACGUUGAACUUCUGACCUACCGAGCUGAUGACAAGAUUUCUUUUGAGAUGAAGGACAUUUAAAGGUGUCAUCAAUACUCAACAGUGGGAAAUAUUUUAAGAACAACCACCAACACCACUACCCUGGAGACACUUUUCUAUCAUCCUACAUGGGCCACCACAAAAAUAAAUCAAACAAGUAAAAGAAAGAAAAAUAAAGACACAGACCAAUUAAGAAGACUGGUUUAUUUUUUAGGAGAAUUCACACGGAAGCUUGAUUUUUCCAUGAACAAAUCAAUCAACCAAAUGUGUUGGAGACAUUGUCAUGUUCACCACACAGACCGUAAAUGACAACCCCAAGGAUAUUGGAAGAGCCACGUGAAAUCUUUGAGGAGCUUUGAUUUGCAAUACGCCAGCUUGCAUCUUGUCCUUGACAAUACAGUAAAAAAUAAGCAAUUGAUGUUAUAGAUUACAUUUCAUGGUGCUGGGAGUGCUGGCUGCUGAUGUGCAUACAGCUGAGGACUUCCUAGGACUUACCCUCAGCCAAAAGAAGCUGAGACAGAAGCUGGCAUCCAAUGGUGGUUGAUUUAGAAAUACAAAGUUACCUUAAUCUGGAACAUUUUUGAGGGGUCAUCGUAACAGCUGUGUUCUCUGUGGGAGGGACUGAGAUCUUUGUUUCAACUGCACGCUAGUUCAACUUCUCCCUCUGCUCACUCCUGCUUUCUUCACUCCCUCUCAGAUGCUGUUUCCCUGAGCAUGCCCCAGACAGCUUCCUGUAUGCAAAUGUCCAUCCCAGAGUCUGUUCUCCUGGGAACCUGAUCUACAGCAGUUGGUGCCAGGAAUGCACUAUGAAAGAAGAAUCUAAAAUGGGAAAUUUGGAACCUAAUAACCACUGGCCUAAUGACAAAAUGCACCUUCACUGGUAAUCAGCGGAGUAUAGAUAGCACCUGGUGUGCCACAGCCGAGCGGUAGCUGAAACUCUCCAGUGGUGAACUGGGAUGAGCUACUGAAAUGGUUCUCAAUGGUGUGUUAUUACCUCUUGCUCAAUCCCUAGGAUAUUUGACAAAGUUGGGAGAUAAUUUUGCUAGUUAUGACCGGGGGUAGGGUAGGAGGAGGGAGUGGUGCUUUUGUCAUCUAGUGGAUGAUGUUAAAUAUUCUACAAUGCAGCCCCUCUCCCCCAACAAAGAAUUAUCCUGUCCAAAAUGUCAAUAAUGUCAAGGAUGAAAAACCAUGCAUUUGCUGGCAAAAUAUUUCAGGUGUUUGAGAGGUCGGGGGAUAUUAGUAAGUAUAAGAACAAUAGACCGAGAUGUUACUUACUGCGAAAGUUUGAGGAUGACUAAUCAUCAAUUUAAGGCAAAGUGUGAGAGUCAAGAACCCCUUGGCAGCAUAUAAAGAAAGUCACAUCUCCUGCAGUAAACCUUGGCAUCAGGCCCAGGGCUUAAUUAUAAGGUAGUUGAACUCCAGAGUAGUUUGAAUUCUCAACCUAAACAAGUCUGCUCUGUCAAUUUUAGAGCCAAGAUCAGGAGAAGUGGAACCUCAGGCUUGGGAUGUGACAUUUGGGUUGACUCACUUGAAAGCCUUGAAGCCCAGAUUCCCCCACCUCUCUUGGCCUGCAUAUGACCUCUCUUAUGGCACUCUGCCUGCUUUCCCCACUCACUCGAAGAUGAUACAGAACACUGCCUUAUAAGACAACAUGUGCUCCCCUUAGGAUUUACUCCUCCCUCCCUUCCUGACAACCAGAUCAAUGACUAAAAUUGAGUAAUGACAAAACCCAGCCAAUAAAGUACUGAGUUUGCUAGAGGAGAAAAGGGACUACAUGUGGAAGAAGUUGCAGUACCUAGACAACUUGAACAGAAUUGUAUAUGUGGGACUUGAUCCUGAUGAUGCUGGAUCAAGGGGGACAGACUAUAAAUUUGGAUAAGUGAGAGAUAUUAAUAUCAAUGUACUCUUCUGUAACACAGGAUAUAAUAUUUGAAAAGGCCCUUAGGAGAUGGUGCUAAUCCACUGCUAGGCUGGCUCUAGGAAGCUUGGAAAAUGGAGACUGUCAUUAAGUGAAGCAGAAAUGCCAGAAUUGCCAUAGUAGGUGGUGGAUGAAGGGAUCAAAAGGCCCAGAGAAGUGGGAGGGCCACAGUGGAUAUGUUCCACUCUACGAGGCUACUGUUAUUGUAGGAUUCUACUGCCCCCAGUGCUAUCAGGGAGCCCAGGUCUGUAACAACUUCUCCUAUCAUCAGUCCUGGCCUAGAUAGGACUACCACCACUGAUAGAUUCUCUGCAAUGCUGGUGCCCCUCCUACCUUAUUGCUUAACAAACAGUGUCUUCCGGGCUGGUGGAUUUUCUGAAUUUAAGUGUCAGCUCGAAGCCCAUGUUCAUUCUUCUACAUCGAACUGCUUCUUAAAUAACAACACCAACAACAAAAUAAUAAGAAACCAGAUAAAACAAACAAACAAAAAACCUCAGCAAGUUCCUCAUCCUAUGCCAUCAUCCUAUAACCCUGAGGCAGUCAUGCCACUUAGAAGACCGGAAAACCCAUCGCGAGUUGACCCAGGCUGCCUUUUCAUUGUCGUAUCAUCGGAGAAACCUGCUCCUGUACUUUCUCUCUUGAGGGUGAAAAAAAAAUCUCCCCUUGUCUUCACAUUCUUUCACAGCUACUUCUAUUUGUCUAUGCCCAUAUUCCUGGGUGCUCUCCUGGCCUACUCUGCCUAACUUUUAAGAUUAGAGGAGAGAAAGCAUUUCAAGACAUUAAUCUCCUAUACAUUUCAAGAUGUUAAUCUCUAGAAAUUUCAUAUUAGGAAAUAUCUUUAAUCCCAGUCUACUGAUAGAAUCUACUGUAAGUUGAACUUUGGUAAACUUUAUAAAAAGGUUUCAGCACUAUAGCUGGCUUUUCAUUGAGAAAUACUUACUCAUACUUUAACUUUCACUGUCUUUGUAAGGUUUUGAAUUCCAGUUUUGUACUUUCAUUAUAGAUCUCCCUAUCUCUAUGGUUUUCUAAAGGAGUUUCUUACAGUUUUUAGAAAAUGUUUUUAUUUCAUAUGGCUUUAUUGAAAUUUGGGAUGGCAUCUCCUGGCAAGGCCACCUAGCACCCACUUCCAUUUUUCUCUGAAGCCAGCCAAAAAUGAAUAGAAUUCACACAUUUCACUCAAGUAAACAUAUUUCGGCCAGAAAAUAUUUUGCAUGUUGGCUUACCAUUAGAUUUAGGUGUAAGAUGUGUUUUAUCUGAUUUCAUAUUCCUUUCAGUAGAGCUUCACAGCUUUCUGAAACAAAAUGCUCUGAAUCUUGAUGUUGAGCUCUGGUCGAGAGAUUCUAUGCAGCAAAGCAGAAGGAAACCACAUGCUUGCUACAUCUCGUUGAAUGGAAUAUAUUUCAUUACUUUGUACAUUAUGUUCUCCAGAUGAGAGGGAAAAGCUAUAAGAACAUUCAAAUAUUCAAUAAAACUGGGGAGAGCGAGUAACUCAUCAAUGUGUCCCCAACAAUACUGCCCCACCAAAUAAAGUCCAAAAAGUAGAUGAAAACAAGAAAAUAUUAUGAAAUACUACAUUCUGUGGAAAUGAGCUGAAAAGGAAAAAUGACUAUUUGAAUAUAUAACACAAUGAAACAAUAAGAUUGUGAACCAAGCUAUAUUGAGAGGAUAUUUGAAAGCC
This is a long non-coding RNA of Equus caballus (horse), 3921 nucleotides long. The record is from Ensembl. NCBI's taxonomy places the organism in Eukaryota, Metazoa, Chordata, Mammalia, Perissodactyla, Equidae.